This 317-nucleotide ribosomal RNA is filed under the name uncultured eukaryote. RNAcentral's name for it is "partial 18S ribosomal RNA". It matches the Rfam family "Eukaryotic small subunit ribosomal RNA", at positions 1470 to 1796 of the family's 1831-position model. The record is from RNAcentral.
CCCUUAGACGUUCUGGGCCGCACGCGCGCUACACUGAUCAGUGCAACAAGCAUCCGUCCUUGGCCGACAGGCCCGGGCAAUCUUUGAACGCUGAUCGUGAUGGGGAUAGACUUUUGCAAUUUUUGGUCUUCAACGAGGAAUUCCUAGUAAACGCAAGUCAUCAACUUGCAUUGAUUACGUCCCUGCCCUUUGUACACACCGCCCGUCGCACCUACCGAUUGAAUGGUCCGGUGAAGCCUCCGGAUUGGCGUGCACCCUCGGGUGCUGCCGAGAAGUUGGCUAAACCUUACCAUUUAGAGGAAGGUGAAGUCGUAACA